GUGAGGAAUAUUGCGCAAUGGAGGCAACUCUGACCCAGCCAUGCCGCGUGCAGGAAGACGGCCCUCUGGGUUGUAAACUGCUUUUAUCUGGGAAGAAAAAGGCCAUGCGUGGCAAAUUGCCGGUACCAGAUGAAUAAGCACCGGCUAACUCCGUGCCAGCAGCCGCGGUAAUACGGAGGGUGCGAGCGUUGUCCGGAUUUAUUGGGUUUAAAGGGUGCGUAGGCGGCUGAUUAAGUCAGCGGUGAAAGACUUCGGCUUAACCGGAGCAGUGCCGUUGAUACUGGUUGGCUUGAGUGUCGGAGGGGUACAUGGAAUUGAUGGUGUAGCGGUGAAAUGCAUAGAUACCAUCAGGAACACCGAUAGCGAAGGCAUUGUACUGGCCGACAACUGACGCUGAUGCACGAAAGUGUGGGGAUCGAACAGGAUUAGAUACCCUAGUAGUCC
Molecule: ribosomal RNA, 444 nt
Filed under: uncultured bacterium
Lineage: Bacteria
Description: partial 16S ribosomal RNA
Rfam family: Bacterial small subunit ribosomal RNA
Source: RNAcentral